Molecule: long non-coding RNA, 18234 nt
Organism: Sorex araneus (European shrew)
Lineage: Eukaryota; Metazoa; Chordata; Mammalia; Eulipotyphla; Soricidae
Exons: 5
Source: RefSeq, a predicted model, not a curated record
UCUUCUGAAAAGGACUUCUUACCCCUGUGGUUCUUUCUGGAUCAUUUUCCAGCAUGCUAUUACCCCUACUGGGGUACUUAUUUUUAAGGACCAUCCUAAAUUCCAUAAUAUACUUGAAUAAUGCUAAAUUUUCUUCUCAUAUUUUAUUGGCAUAUCAUUCUUUUUCAUGUAUUUAGGAUACUUGAAUGCAAUUUUUUGUUUUUUAAGAGUGAUUCGAUCCAACGAUUUUGGGUUAACCUUCUCUGGUAUUCGUGGCUUAGUUUUCUUUUUCAUCCGUUAUUCUUUACUUCGCCCAUCGGGGCUGUGGAUAAUUGGUAUGAUUAUUUGCCCAGCGGGGCUGUGGAUGCGUGACUUUUAGAGAUUUUAUAUAUAUUUGGAUGUACAUGUACAUGUAUGUACAUAUGUAUGCAUAUACAUACGUAUGUAUGUGUAUAUGCAUUAAUGUGUAUCUUUUGCCCAUCGGGGCCAUGGAUACGUGCGCUAAAAACUUUUAUCCCCUUCGCCCAUCCGGGCCUCGGAUACCUGCAGUCCGCUCCCUAACCUUAUACAAACAUUUAAAUGAGCCGGCCCAUCAGGGCAACGGAUACCUGCUUUUCUUUUCAUAUAAUUGUUUUCUUGGUCCAUCGGGACCCUGGAUACCUGCUCGGUUUUUUUUUUUUCCUUGCCCAUCGGGGCCUCGGAUACCUGCUCGCUUUUUUUUUUUUUCCACUUGCCCAUCGGGGCCAUGGAUACCUGCUUAGAUUUUUUUUUUCUCGUAUGGCUCCACAGGGCGUUUUAUGAAUGGAAGUGUUAUUUUAUGAUAAUUGUGCUAUUUGGAAUGUCUACAGAUUUUCAUGGCUGGUAAUCGUUCCGUGGUGUGAGUGGAUCUGCGGUACUUGUGAAGUUAGGGUAAGGGGUUGUGUAGCCUGGGGGGGUUAUGGCUGCCGUUUUCAUGGCUGCCGCUUUCAUGGCUGCCGCUUUCAUGGCUGCCGCUUUCAUGGCUGCUUCUCUUGCGUGAAUGGCGGUAGUUUGCGCUCAACAUGGAGGACGGACGGAAUGACUAAAGCGUUUUGCAUGACUAAAGCGUUUUUCAAAACGCUUGUUAGGAAGCGUGUGACAAUUGCAUUGUUGUCAGGAUCAUAUUGUUAUUCCAAGAGGCUGAUUGAUGACAAAGAAAAUACAUAAUGAGUCCCGAUGAGCAUGGCGGCGGUUACUAUGCAGCCUUGCUAAGUAUGGCGGCCAGCAUUGUUAAUGUCCAAGAUGGCGGAUCGGUUGCCGCAGUGUCCAAAUGGCGGGAAAACCACGUCAGGGUGGUAUCUUUGUUCUCGCGUGGAGUAUGGCGGUGCAAAUAUUCUAUUACAUAGAAGAUGGCUGCUGAAGGACAUGCCACAUUGUAUAACAUGGCGGGCUUUUGUCUUUGCCGUAUGCAUUUCCUGGUAGGUUUUGCCAUAGGGACAAUAUGGAUGACACUGUCAUGUGAAUGUCAUGCCAUUUUGUCACGUGGAUGUCUUGGCGCGGCUAGGAUUUUUUGGCAGUUGUUCAUGGCGGGCUUUGCCGCUAGGUGGAUUUGCCGCAUUGUUAAAGAUGGCGGACUUUGCCGCGUUUGCCUUGAAAAGCGGAAGAUGGGAGGGGCAGUUUUGCAUUGCAGCGUUAAGCACCCAAUCAGAAAGGGUAGUAAGAUAGGGCACAGGCAAUUGGUGGAUUAGAAUACUGAGUUAGCAUGGCUCCUGGCUGAGGUCUUUAUUCAGCCUUAAGGAAGGAAGUGGCUGAGUAGGCUUGUACUUCUGCUCCGUGGGUGGUCCCGAAGGUCUUUCCAAGGACAUUCAGCCAUUUCACUGGCUUCCUCCAGUUUCUGCUUCUGUCCUCUUGAGCAUUGUCUCUUGCAGUGCUGGAUAGUUGGCUGGGGUCUGACCCUAAGAGUAAUUGCAUGGCCUCAGGCUCUUUUGCCCCCCCUGCUGCUUGGCUGCUCUAACUUGCCCAGGGCUAUGCUGCCUUAGGUGAAUGGUGAUCAGUGGUAACAAGGAUCAGAAUGAAUCACAAAAGACGGUUUUCCAUUAGGUAGUACCGGAGAAAUCCCUACCUUCCUCAGAGAACAACCUACCCCUUAGCUACUGCUGGGGUCGGAUUUAUUGCUUGGAUGUUGUCUAUAGGUUAUGUGGUUUUCAAGUAUUCUUUUUAGCCUAAGGAUAUUAUGGAACUGUGUAUAGGGGCUGUUUAUUUUUUAGAUUUCAUGUUAACUAUAAUAAUUGCUUUGAAUCUGGUUUCUUUUACAUUCAUAUAUUUCUGUUAAUUAUUUGAACUGCUUGAUUUUGGCUAUAGGUAUUCCGUCAAGUUACCUUGCAUAAAAAAAUGUUUCUUCUUUUUUUAAUUUUGAAAUUGACAUAACAAAACAACUUUCUAUUUUUGAAACAUCACAAAUAAUUAAAAUUUACUUUUAAACUGUUAAACUGAGGGAAUGCGGAAAGGAAUAUUUUAAGGUCCAUUCUUAUCCAGGCCUUGCUUCGUUCUUAUUGUCAACGCUGCACUAAUUGACGAAUCAUCUAUGCCUGUUGUAGGAGACUAGAAGUUUUAUGAACUUGUCUCCUUAUUGGAUUAUCAAUGACCACAAUUCCAAUUUUCUGUUAUCAGUCCGUCAUCUACUGCCCAGCCUGAUCCCAGCAAUAUCCCAUCUAGCCCCAGCCCUAGCCCCAGCCCUAGCCCCGUCCCAGCCCAGCCCCGUCCCAGCCCCGUCCCUGCCCUAGCCCCAGCCCUAGCCCCAGUUCUAGCCCCGUCCCAGCCCUAGCCCCAGCCCUAGCCCCAGCCCUAGCCCCAGCCCUAGCCCCAGUCCCUGCCCCUGCCCCUACCCAGCCCAACCCCUGCUCCAGCCCACUACCCUUGGUCCCCUGCCCCAGUCCUACUUCUCCCUAAAGGUGCUCAAAUUUGUAAUGAUUAUAGUCCAUGGAAGUAGUUGGAUUGCUUAUCCAUUAGAAUGGAGUAUCAUAUCUGACUCUGGAAUUUGUUGUCGAGUCUUAGUACUGUCUACCAAAGUAAUCAUUUCAUUAGUGAAUACACAUUACCUGUAUCCCAAUUUUCUGGAGAGUGCUCUGCUAAUAAACUGUACUGAUUACCAAGACUCGCUGAGUGAAGUUCUGAUUGUCCAUAACCCUGCCCGUUGGAUUCCAAACAGAUCCAAAGCAGUUUUUGCAGUAAGAGACUUUUGUGUUAACAGAGUCUGUUGUGUUCUCUUUAAUGUCCUUACUCCCAUGUUCAUAGCUGUGUAUUAAAUAAUGAUAACCUAUCGAUUUGUUACUUUCAUCUGGAGAAUCCUGCUGUUCUAAGAAAAUUAAAGUACCAAAUUGUAAAUACAUGUUGUCUUUGGCCGUUAAUCAAUAAUCCCCUAUCUGCAUUGUUACUAAGAACUAUUAUGACUACCUAAAACCAAUAGUUAUCUUGAAUUAUUACAUUGGUUACAAAGAAGUAGCAUGAACACCUGAAACCAAUAAUCCUCUUGAAUUAUUAAUGAAUAGUACUCCAAUUGUCUGCCUCUUUUCAUUACACUAGUCCUUUGAUCUCUCUAUAAGUUCAUUUGCAAACUUGGAACCCCCAGUGCUUUGAAUUAACCUAGGAUCCUAUUCUCUCUUAAGCCAAAAGCCAAGUACUUAACUGAAAAUGGUGUACACUCUAGGAAUCCACACUUUCCAACACUCUUUGCAUUACAGUGGAGUGUACUUGGAACUAUUAAAAUGCUGAUGAAGCAAGUGCUGGUAAUCUGUCUCCUUGCAUUACAAAAAGACAAUACUUGGAACUGUAAAGCUAAAGUAACAUAGUUCCUUUGUACCCAGUUUCCAAUCCCUUUCUACUUUCUUUUAAAAGGGAUUUGGGACAGUGAAUGUGCUCCUUUGCACCUGUGGUCUCUUAUUCUAGACUAAGCAGCAGAAGUACUUGGACCCAAGAUAUUACUCAUCUCAGCUGUGGUCUCUUCUGUGUAUAUAAGAUCCCAUCCCCAUCUAUUACCUCAAUAUUAUAUAGGGGUGUAAUUGGGAUCAUUAAAAUGCUUAAUUAUGCAUUCUGGUGCCCUGUGCUUGUCCAGUAGAUUCUGAUUGCUUUAUACUCCUUUUAUUAAUGUAAAAUGUCUUUGAAGGGCAUCCUGGGACUCUUAAGGCAUUAAUUGCAAAUGAAGUCCCUUCUGGUAAUCCAUUUUCUAUCUUAAACUCCCUUUGCACUACCACAAAAGGGACUUGGAACUAUUCAACUAAAACUACUCUUAAUUACAGUAAUUGUUCCCUUAGUAUACUAAGCCCUCCACUUCCUCCCUUUAUAUCACCUGGGAGGCUUUCUAUCACUUUUAGAAUCCCUCCAUUGCAGCUGGUGGCACCUUCUUUGUAUUAAUUUUGCCCUCCUACAUCCUUUAGUAUUUACACAGAGGUUAUUUGAGUGUUAAAAUACUCAAAUGAAUCUGAGAUCCCACCCAUUUGAUAGUAUAAAAUGCUAUAUUCUACUCUAUUGGUAUUACAGCAUAGGUACUUGUGAUGGUUCAUGUGUUUAAUUGCAAUGGUGGUACCUGCUCUUAAUUUCAAAUACCACCUCAGUCCUUUUUUUUUGCAAUACAGCAGAGGAGUCCUGGGACCACUAAUAUGCUUAAAGGCAGGUGUGGUCCCUUUGUUAAGUCUAUGAUCUCAUUCCCUCUGAUUCCUUUCCUGAUACCUCAAAUGCUAUUUGAACUAAUACAGUGCCAAUAGCAUCUAAGUCUCUUUACGUGUUUCAGAGUGCCAUCCUGUGGUACUCCUGAGAAUUACAGCAGAGACUACUUGGUACCAUUACAAGCUUAUUUGCUGCGGUGGUCCCUUCCUGUAAUGUUGGGUCACUUGCCCUACUACUGGCUUUGCAUUACCGGGGACAUAAAAUGAGACUGCUUAAGUGCCUCAUUGCAGUUCUGGGCCCUUCUGUGGGUCAGGUUCUCCAUUCCUUAAGUCCCUUUGCAUUACAGCACAAAGGGUUGGGACUGUUGAGCUCUUCAUCGCAGUUUAGUCCCUUUGGCACUAUAGAAUCCCUUGUCCUAUCCUCAUUGCAUUACCUGGAAGACUAUUUGGGACUGUUAAAGGUCCUCAGUUUUGCAACAUUUAUCUAGUUUCACAAUUCUUUGUUGUCCCUCUGCAUUACAAUCAAGGACUUGGGACUAUUAGUGUGCUUAAUGCACGGAGGGCUAACUUAUUAGACAAAGAUAUUAUCUGCCACCACACCCUUUCCAUUAGUAAGGAGGGUACAUGGCACUUUUAAAGUGCUUAAGUAAUUGCAGCUAUAUUUUUUCUGUUCCUCUGAUUUCCUAUUCCUUCCUACUCCCUUUUCAAUACAACAGAAGGAAGGUUUGGGAACUGAUCCUCAAUUUGGGAUCUGAUAUCUUCUGUAUAUAUAGUUUCCUAUCCUCUUGUACUCCCUUUGUGUUAAAGGCCCGCUUUGUAAUGUUAAUUUGCAUAAUUGCAUGAGUGCCUCUUUCUAUAUAGUAAAUAAAAUACCACACUUGCUUCCCAUGUUCAGCAAUGGAAGACUUUCUUUACGGAAGACUUAUAAUGAAACAUGGUUAUUAACCAUAUUAUCUUUUUUUGUGUGUGUAUUUACAUUUAUAGUUUUAAUUGACCACAGCUGUACCUUUUAUAUUAGAACUCCUGUACUGUACUGUACUGUACUGGGGAAAUGAAGAGACCACUUUAAAACCCUUAUCGUGAGACUAUGGAUGGGAAUAAUUAACUGUUGCCCAUAGUCAUUACAAUUAACUGGGUCCGAGGUUAUUUGUCUUUACUGCACUAAUAUUUUCCACAGAAAGCCCUUUCUUAAACCUUCUACAAUUGUAAUUACCCUGUCACCCUUCCUUUGAAGGUACUAUAGGUUUUUUCACUUAAAGUUCCAUUUCUUGGCUUUAUGAUAAUAAGAAAUUUUAUUUCUCUGGGAUCCUGUGCACUGAAAAGGGGGGAUUAUAUUUGUCUGGGUUCUUGUAGCCUAGACAAAAAGUAGGUACUACUCACUACACCUUUCUGAUAUAACCGAGAGUACCUAUCCUGCAAGACUUUGGAGAAUCAAGGUGUACAAUUAUAAUAAAUUAUUAAAUCAAAGCAGUGCACCUUGAAAAUUAAUGCACACACCUGCACAUAACUCAUCUUUUAGAUUAUAGCUUUAUCCCUUUCAAAGUACAGCAGGGAGAAAGAACCUAAAAAGGCAUUUAAAUGGCCUGUUAAUAUUACUAUGAUAGAAACCCACCUUCUUGGUGCCUACAUACUUGGCCAAUUCCAGCCUUCUUUACCUAAAAUCAGGCAGUGCCCAAUUAACGUGCAUAACUGCACAUGUUGGAAUUUGAAAUAGAUCCUACCUUCAUAGCCCCUCUGCGUUAAAGCACAGGUGAUGUCCUAAGUUCUAUUAGCAUCACUUUGAUUCUGCUUGAAUCUGGUGCCUAUAAGUCCACAUCCACGCAUCUUAGACAUGAAUGUGCAUGACUCGUCAUUUGAAUGAGAUUUAACUCCCUGCCCCCUGUGGCAGUAUAGCAGGUGGAGCAACACCAAAGGCCUUUUGGCCCAGUUCUAUUAGAAUGUGUAACUUACAAAAACCCAUGCUCUAUCGAAAAUCCCUAAUCCAAAACUCUAGCUCUCAGUUCUUCCCAUUAAACAGAGCUAGAACACUUGUUCUAGAACUCUAUCUACUGAACUAGAAUACUUCUUUGGUCAAGGUGCACAAUUUCGACGAGAACACAAGACCUUGCACCGUGGACACUAAUUGUAAAUGACUCUACUUUUAAAUAAGAUUCUACCCGCAUAGCCCCUUGGCGGUAAAGCAGGGGUGAUGUCCCAAAGACCUCUUUUCUUGGUCUGUCAAUGACACUUUGAUUGCGUUUGGAUCUGUCCAUUAAUGAAGCCCACCCACGCCCUGCACAAACACUCUACCUAUCUCCACUUUCCUUUGUCUACCAUCAAGCAGUGCCUCUCCACUGAGCUAAAACAACUGGACAGUCAAGGUGCACACAUGUAAGUGACUACAAGUCCACAACUGCACCUCAGAUAUGAAUGUGCAUAAUUGCACAUGGCUCUCCAUUUGAAUUCAAUUCAACCCUCAUAGCACCUUUACAAUACUGCACAUAACCCCCAAAGGUCCCUUUCUUGGCCUUUAAAUAUUAUUGUGCUUCAAAUGGAAUCUAUCCAUUAGAGAAACCCACACUCUCCCCACCACAGCAGUGUCCCUCCGUGGACCUAGAACACUUGGACAGUAAAGGUGCACGCAGGUAUGUGACUACUAGUCUGCAACUGUGCACCUUGGACAUUUAUGUGCAUAAUUGCACAUGAUUCUCCAUUUGAAUAAGAUUCAAUCCUUAAAGACUUUCUGCAGUAAAGCAGGCAUGAUAUACCAAGGACUGUUACUGUCACUUUCAUUCUGUUUGACUAUGUCAAUUUAGAAAGCAUCCCAACCUAGCCCUCUUUGUGCACUCCCCUCUACAUCCUUUCUUUUCCAUCACAUAGUACCACUGCAGAACCAGAAUAUAGACUAUAAGCCUGCACUUUGAACAGGAAUGAGCAUGACUGCACAUGGUUUUCAUAUGAAUUGGAAAAUACCUUCAUCAACCCUCUGCGGUAAAGCAAGGGUGAUAUCCUACAAACAGGCCUAAUUUCUUGGCCUGUUAUUAUCAUUUUGAAAUGCAUUUUUAAUCUGUUCAUUGGAGAAGCCCACCCUCUCCCCUUCCUAUCUUGAACACAAAUGUGCUUAAUUGCACUGGACUCUCUAUAUGAAUAAGAUUAUAUCUUCAUAGACCUUAGGGGGCUAAAGCAAGGGGUGAUUGUCCCAGAGACUUGUUCUCUUGGCCUGUUAAUGUCACUUUGAUAGUAUUUGAACCUGUCCAUUAGAGAAGCCCACCCACUGCCUGUCCCAGCACUCUGCCUGACCCACUCUCCUUUGUCUACCAUCAGGCAGUGCAUCUUUACUAAAGUAAAAGUGCACGCAGUCAAGGUGUACACAUCUAAGUGACUACAGGUCCAAAAUGAUGCACCUUGGACGUGGAUGUACAUAAAUGCAUAACUGCCCAUUUGAAUAAGAUUCUAUCCUCAUAGCCCCCUUACUUAAAGAGGAGCACAAAUGUGCAUAACUGCACUGACUCUCCAUUUGAAAAAGAUUGUACCUUCAUCAGUCCUCUGCAGUAAAGCAAGGAUGAUAUCCUAUAAACCUAUUUUCAUGGCCUGUUAAUGUUUCUCUGAUUGUAUUUGAAUCUGUCCAUUAGAGAUACCCACUUUACAGAACCAAAACAAUUGGGCAAUCAUGGUGUGCACAACUAAGUGACUGCAAGUCCACAAUGAUGCACCUUGGACAUAAAUGUACAUAAUUGCACAUGGCCAUCCAUUUCCAGUUUUAGUAUAUGUGCUGCCAAAGGAAGCAUGAUGGCUCCCCAUUUGAAUGAUUCUACCCUCAUAGCCUCUCUGUAAUGCAGCAGAGGUGCCGAUCCUCAGGGUCUCGUGGAGUGUUAAUGCUACUUUAGCUAUAUUUGAAUAUCUCCCUGCUCUGUGCAUGCCACCCAUCUCCAGGAUAGGUGGAUGGAAAUGACCGUUCCAUCAGUCAUUUCCCCUCUAAAGCUAAGCCACUUGGACAGUUGAGGUGCACAAUUCUAACCACAAAGCCAUAACCACAGACCUUAGUAAUUGUAAUUAAUUUGUAAUUAAUUACAAAUUACAUUUGUAAUUAACUGUACGUAAUUUGUAAUUGCACGUGGUUCAAUAUUGGAUUAAGACUGUGCAGUACACCAGGGGUGGAGCCCCAAAGGCCUCUUUUCUUGGCCUAUUAUCACUUAGAUUACAUUUGAAUCUGUCCAUUAGAGAAGAAUUAGCCUCUUCUCUCCUUGCUCCCUUGCAUGUCUCCAUUGUUCUUCCCUCCCAUGAAUGAGGCAGUGCCCCUCCACAGAACUAGAACACUUGGACAAUUUAGGUGCACAUAUCUAAGUGACUAUAAGUCUACAACCGUGCACCUUGGACAUGAAUGUGUAUAAUUGCACAUAAUUCCCCAUUUGAAUAAAAUUCUUUCCUCAUAGCACCCUUGCUUAGUGUGGGAUGAUGUCCAGAGGCCUCGUUCUGGCCUGCUAAUCUUACUUUGAUUGUAUCUGAAUGUGCUCAUUAGAGAAGAGCACCCUAAGGCUUCCCUAUCUACCACAUUGCCCCAUGUCCUUCCCUUCCCCCAUGACAGUGCCCCCUACAGAACCAGAAUAUUUGGAGAGUCAAGUUGCACACAUCUAAGUGACUACAAGUCCACAAUGAUGCACCUUGGAUAUGAAUGUAUUUAAUUGCACAUGGCCAUCCAUUUAUAAGUUUAGUAUAUGUGCUGCCGAAGUGAGCAUGAUGGCUACCCAUCUAAAAUACUAUUCUACCCUCAUAGCCCCUUGGCAGUAAAGCAGGGGUAAUUGUCCCAGAGGCCUACUCUCUUGGCCUGUUAAUGUCACUUUGACAGUAUUUGAACCUGUCCAUUAGAGAAGCCCACCCACUACCUGUCCCAGCACUCUGCCUGACCCACUCUCCUUUGUCUACCAUCAGGCAGUGGAUCUUCACUUAACUAAAAGUGCACGCAGUCAAGGUGUACACAUCUAAGUGACUACAGGUCCAAAACGAUGCACCUUGGACGUGGAUGUACAUAAAUGCAUAACUGCCCAUUUGAAUAAGAUUCUGUCCUCAUCGCCCCCUUACUUAAAGUGGGGUGAUGUCCAAAGGCCUCAUUCUUGGCCUCUUGAUGCUACCUUAACUAUAUUUGAAAGCACCCACUGGGGAACCUCACCUUUAGGCUUCCCUAUCUACCACCCUUCUCCAUCUGCUUCCCUUUCCCCAUGACAGUGCCCCUAACAAAACCAGAACAUUUGCACAGUCGAGGUGCACACACCAAGUGACUACAAGCCCACAAUCAUGCACCUUAAACAUGAAUGUGCAUAUUUCCACAGACUGUACAUUUGAAAAAGAUUCUACCAUCAUCGACCCUGUGCUGUAAAGCAAGGGUGACAUCCUAUAGACUUGUUUUCUUGACCUGUUAAUGUCACUUUAACGGUAUUUGAAGCUGCUAAGCAAGACAAUUGGACAGUCAAGGUGCAAAACUCUAAGUGACUACAAGUCCACAACCAUGCAUCUUGGACAUGAAUGUGCAUAACUGAAUACAGUUGCCCAUUUGAAUAAGAUUCUAUCCUCAUAGCCUCUUUGCUUAAAGCAAGGGUUAUGUGCAAAGGCCAUUCUUAAUGUUACAUUUAAUGUUAUUUGAUUUUAAAUGAAUCUAUCCAGAACCCACCCUCACCCCACCCUAGCAGCCUGCCUGUCUCCAUCUUUCCCUUUUCAUCAGACUGCCCCUCUACAGAACUAGAAAACUUGGACAGUCAAAGUACACACAUGUACGUGACUACAUGUCCACAACUGUGCACUUUGAACAUGGAUGUGCAUAAUUGCACAUGGCUCUCCAUUUGAAUAAGAUUUUAUCCUCAUAACUCCUGGGCUAAGCUGAGCAUCAUGUGCCAAAUAUAUAUCCGUCAUUAUAGAAAACUAUUUUUCCCUCCCCUGUCACCAUUUUUCCUUUUCCCUGAGGCAGUGGUACAAGUCCACAACCAUGCACCUUAGAACUGACUAUGCAUAAUUAUGCAUAUGCAUGUGACUAUGCAUAAUGGCUCUACAUUUGAAUAAAAUUCUACAGUCAUAGGCCCUGUGCGGUAAAGCAGGGGUGAUUGGCUCAAAGGCCUAUUUUCUUGGCCUGUUACUUUGAUUAUAUUUGAAUCUGUCCAUUAGCCAAGAACAUCCUCUCUUUGUCCAACUCUAUCCUUUAUCAGGCAAAACCUUUCCACAGAACUUAAGCACUAAAGUAAAUUAAAGUCCAUAUUCAAGUACCUUAUACGAUAUAUGCAUAUAAAAACCAACCCUCAGACUCCUUUUGCCGUACCAUCUCAUAAGUCUAUAAAAUGUUAUUCCAUUAUACCCCCUUUCAUUGCUGCAGAGGCUACUGACUACGUAAAACUUUUCCUUGGACUCUUUUGUGAGCACAAUCAAUGGCAAACAAGUAUUUGCCUUUUCCUAAAGAUUCUCCUAAGAAUGAAUUGUUUUGCAUAAAGAAAAUUUUCUUUUCCGACCAUCUUAAGCAAUCACGACCUGACCUAAUUUACCACUGUAUAAUGAAGCAUGAAUAGUACAAUCAGCCAUGAUUUUGAGUAUAAAGCAACUACCCAUACUUAUAUUCCUUUGCAUUGCUUGUUUAAAAAAACUUCACCAAGUCAUGGCCAUUUUCCCUCAUCUUCCAUUUCCCACCCCCUUUCCUGCCCUUUAAACCACUUUUUUUAUGGACUAUUAUUUAAGGAGUCCAUAAGAUCCUAUUAGAAAAUAUUCUCCCUCUCCCUUCUGCCCCUACACUGCUCGUUUUGUACUUUUUGCUGGGGAAUAUUUAUUGGGCAUGUCCCUUUCAGUUGGAUUUUAAAGUUAAUAAGCCCAAGUCAUCAGUUUAUCUAUUUUAUAUUGCUGUAAUGCCUCUGUUGUACUCUCCAUGUUUCCCAAAGCCCCCAAAGCCCACACUAUACCCCUCUACUUGGCAUUGCCUCUGAGUACUGCUGAGGAACCGAAGUCCCCUCUGUUAUUAACACAGCAUUGAUUGUCCUGUUUCUCAACCCAUCAACCCAGAUCUAUAUACCACUUUGAUACAUUUUUGCAGUGUUGACUAUCAAAAGCAGGCCGGAACUACAUGAAUGGUUUCUAUUCCUUUUCCAGCAUUUUUUGUGAUCUCAGUUCCAAUUAUUGUCAUAUUCUGAGAACCAUUUGCCCACCUCUGUAACUACUUCUGGGCAAAAUGCUAAAUACAAGUCAGGCUGGUCCAUAGAGGGGGAUUGCAACUCGUUACAUUAUCAGUAAAAGUAGUCUCCCACAGAGAAUUAGCACUGACUUUAUUGUUCCAGAACACAUUGCUUGACUAAGAAUUUCUCCUCUCAAUGCUGUAGAGUAGCAGUUGCCAAGAUACAACUACAGCAAGAACUUGCUAAUAAUUUUUAAUUUAAAACUAUUUAUUAGAAAGAUUUAGAAUACAAGGUGAAAUUGAUAAUCUGGUCAUUAAAUCUUUAAAACCUAAAAGUAUGUCAUGUACUUAAUGACCAGUCUCUCUCCUCUACUGAGGGUCUAUGGAUAGAUCACUGUGGCUUAUUGUUUAUCACUGUGGCUUGUUGUUUAAGUAUAACUAGGGAGGAGUUCUAGAGUGGAACUCUUAAAGUCUAUUAUCUAUAUUAACAGAAAGAUAAGCCAACAUUAAUCAUUCUUCUGGACAUAAAAUUCAGAAGUGAGUUAGCUGCCUGAUAAUAAAGAAUAAUAACCGAGCCUUCUAAAGGACAGAGUUUUUGACGGCAGAAAAGUAUUUAGUAAGGAACUGCUGAAGCAAUAGCAGUUGCUUAUAAUUACUGAAAUAGGAUAUUGUUCCUCUGAGACGGAUGUCAAAAAAAAUCAACCAGCUCAUGGUGCUGUCUGCACCACAAGCUCCUGAGACAGCUGGAAGAGGAGUCUCUGGCCUUAGAAUACUGUAUGAAUUCUGAGUUAUUUCUGUAUCCUCAAUUCAAGAAGAAUGAGAUGGAUUGAAUACUGCCACUGGAGUAAAGAUAUUUCGAUCUGAGGAUUGCAAGCAGCUCUGAGAAACAUCACAUUCAGCAGAUUCUCCAGUUUUGAAAUCUAUAAUCUCAAACUAACCCAAGAUGAUGGUUUGCUGACCACUUGGAAGAAAAGAAGUACUUAAGAUCUUCCUCUAAAUAGGCUUGCUGCUUUACAGUGUUGGUGACACUUUCCCUUUGACGAUCCCUAGGUGGAGAUGGGGCAUGAGGAUCCUCCAGGGGAAAGUCUCACUACCACUGGGCAACAACCCUAUGCUGGGGUUUUCUACAAAAAUUUUUGAGCCUACAUGCAGUCCCAAGAUAACUACCAUACACCAGAGUGUUCUUCUCUUUGUCUUCACUCUCCUAUUACUAACCCUUUCUCACUUAAUUAGCUGCGUUUGCUUAUAAGUGUGUUUUUCUUGCUUGACUAUUUCUUCCGUAAAUGUCUAAUCUUUUUUUCUAGUGUUUCUUACUCAUUUCUAUGAUUCCCUUGCUAGUGUAUCCUGUGUGUAUUCUGUCUUUUUCUUUGUUCUGAAAUGUGUGCCUUGGCUUACCUGCUUGCUUCUAAUUGUUUGCUUUUUCAUUUUCAUUGAGAAUAUUUCUCAUUCUCUUUGCUCUCUUAGAUCUGCCUCUUCUUUCACUCUUCUUCCCUUUGCACCUGAGUGAAAAAUGCUAUGUGCUUUUUGCUGAUAGCCUGCCUACUUCUAGUACUCUAUUAUUUGUUAUUUUGUCCCUAUUUGUUGGUUUGAUAUUUCACUUUUCCCCUCCUGAUUCUGGCCUCUUUGCUGCUUCUCUCUUUAAUGUACUCUUUCCUACAUUUCCUUUUUGCCUCUCUUGGCCAUUUGCUCGCUCUUCCUGUUAUGUGUACUUGUAUUUCUAUUAUGUGUACCUUUAAUUCUCUUAUGUGUGCCUUUAUUCCUGUUAUGUGUGCUCACAUGUGUAUCUCUUUGUUCUUUGUGAGUUUCCAGUUUACUAUGCAUGGCUAUUUUCUUGUAUGUUUUUUCCUUUCUUUAUGCACCUUUAAAUAUUUCACACCCUUUAUGUCCUUCCUUUCCUUCUUGAUUUCAAGCAUCUUUCCCUUCCUGUUGUGCUUAUGUGUUGCACAUGUCCAUGCCUGUGUGUGUUUGUGUCCAAGGGGCUCCUUUAGCCCACUUCAAUAGGUACUGAGUGUCAGCUCUCAAAUCAAGGAUUGCAGAAUUACCUAUGCCAGACAGCCCUGUGAAAUUAUCCAUCACCAAAUGGUGGCAAGUCUAGACUGAAAUAAAAGACAACACUUAAAAGUGCUCAAAGUAGAAGACAAAGGACAAAUGAUUUGAAACUUGAGAACUGAAAUAUAAAAUGGAAAAACUAUGUCUGUGUCCCAAGAUGUAUUGAAGCCUCAGUACUCUGAAACCAUCAAAAUUGGACCUUGUUGGAUAAAAGAUGUGAUAGACAGUUGGAUGGUCUUAUUCAAAAUAAGGCUGAAGGUCCCAAAGUGGAGACCCACGGGAAGCUCAACACUUAAAAUGACCUGAUUUGAAGACCCAAGAUCCCAAGAUGGAAGAACCCAGAGACACAAAAGUACUCAUCUCUAGAUGGGUGGUAGGCAUGAGACAGUAUUUCAAAACUAAAUUAGAUGGGAAGAUCCUGUGACAUAGAGUAACCGAGACCUAAAUAAAUUCCAAAAUAAGAGCCUUAAACUACAGGUUUUUUUCUUUUCUAUUGAUAUUCUAAUCUUGGAGCAUUUCAGUUCUCAUAUCUCCAUUUAAGCCCACUUCUUUUAAGAAAUCCUAUCUAUUACUCCUGGGCUAUCUAAGUCUAGUUUAUAUUCAGACUUUGGGGCUAAUUAACAACUUUUUAGUAUCCUUUAAAAAAUAUUUGAUUUCUCUUCACUCCAAGAUACAAAUUGUAUUUCAAACAUCCCCUUUCCUCGGAAGCUCUAAGCUGUUGAAAAGAGGAAAGCAUAAGAUUCUUGGAGAAAAUGCCAGGCAUCUUAGAGAAAAUCUGAAGGGCAAUGAGAAAAAGUAGAAAACUAUAGUGUGGCACUCUGCUAAGAAGCACCAUCUAGCAACAUUUUCUUUAAAUGUGUGCACUGGAUUGCUAGCAGUUGAGACACUCUAUCCACCCUUGAGGGUUCCCCCAAAAGGGUGUUUGUGCCUGGGACAGAGUGAGGCCCCAAGGAGACAACCUGAACUCUGCUCAUAGUAGUGGCUUUAUAAUUUGGUAUUCUUCAUUAACCUUUCUCUGGGUUUAAUACCCAUCUGUGAGGGAUAAAGUGCUUUGCACUUGCACAUGGCUGACCUAGUUGCUGACCUAGUUACUGACCCCAUUGUUACAUAUGGCCUACUCCAAACACAGCCAGGAGAUAUCUCUGAGCACAGCCACAUGUGGUCCAACAUUCACCCCUCCAUCCACCCCCUCACUUCCAAAUAAAUACGCACCUCUAAACUUUAAGUUAAGAGGAUUUGGGAAGAUUUAGCAGGUAGCAUGUUUAAUCCUUUCCAAAAACUUAUUUCCUCUUACCAAGAGGGAAGACGUUUUCAAAGACUCAGGAAAACAAGGCAUUCUAAUUAAUAGUGUAUUAAGUGUGCCGACUAUCAAGUUUCAAAGCAUUAUAUGAAUGAGGGGUGAUCAUACUCUUUCAAAAAGAGCACUUUAAAAGGAAAGCUACUUUUAAAUCAUAAACCAAGUACUCAUGUAUGGACCAUAGUUAAACACCUCUGAUACAGGUGUUCUGGACUGUGCUAGAUAAUACUGAUUUCAAUCUGUACCUGUCCCUGUAAUUUAUGAUCAAAUACAGAAAAUUUGAAGAAAAGUAAAUUAUUGUAUUUUUAAAUUAUAAAGCACUUAAUUAUAUUCAUAUUGGAAAUUAAAUGUCUGAUAAAUAACAUAUUUUGGUCAUCAUGUUUCUGCUGCUGUGGUCAUUAUGAAUAAAAAUGGAGUAUUCCUCUAGCAGAAAGUGCAUGGAAACUGCUUUUAAACUAUAAAAUAUCAUAAACAUAAACCUACAUCUAUAAACAUUCUAUGCUAUAAGCUAUAGAUUAUAGUAUAACACCAAUGGGGUUAAUCUAUUACUAUCCCUUAUAAUAUGCGAAAUGCCAUGUGUAGACACUACAGAUAUCACAGAAUGUUAAAAUGUUAAAAUUAUAGGGUUAAAAAUUUCAGAAAAGCAUAUAUUAAAGUGCUUUGUAGGCAAUAACACCAUAUAAACACAAUGGGCUCCAUGUUUAUGAAUGAAUGAAUGAAUGAAUGUUACUUUUUAUGUGCCAGCUAUUUCUAUUAGCACUAUAAGAAUCAAAGAUAAUGUUUCAAAUUAGUAAGGAGAUUUACAUUCUAUUUAUACAUAAGUUAUUUUUUCAUCAAUCAAGACUUUACUGGUGAUAUCCAGAUUAAAUUAUUGUCUGUUAUAUCCCUUGUAAAAUGGAAUUAAUUUAAUAUAUACAUGAACUUUAUUGUGUACAACAUAAGAUGUUUUAUAUAUGAAUACAUAACUUUCUGUGAGAUGGGCAUAAUCACCCUCAGUGAGAAAGUCAGUAUGGCUAUGCAAGCUAUAUCUGUGAACUGAACAUUUUGGACACUAAAGAAAUACACAAUUUAUCAUUAUAUUGUGCCUAAAGCUGAGAAUAUUAAGGCACCCUAUAAAUGUAACUGGAUUGCUCGUUGGUAUAAGUAUUCAUUAUACUUGGUAAAAUGAAGUCUUUCUAAAUAAAUACUGAAUAUUUUAAAGGCUUGAGUAAAAGAUCUUAUAACUAAUAGAUAAUUGUCUAUAUGAUAGUCUCCAAAGAGUUAAGAAAUGAUAAACCAUUUUAACAUGUCUUUUGUAACAAAAGAUAUGCAUGAAAUAAAUUCAUGCAUUUUAAAUGUGCUUAAUAGCUGAUAAACGAACAUUGAUUUUCCUUUAUCUUACAAUGUCAGUAUUGUGCCCACAGAAAGCUAUUUUUGUAAAUUUUAAAAGCUUUCUGUUUUAUAAGGAAUUGUGGGCCUAAUCAAUAUUAAUACUUUCUUGAGGCCCAGAAAACCUCAUAACAUAUCGUUAUAUAUUAAAAAAAAAGUAAUGGAUAUGAAACCAAGACAAAAAUAGUUUUGUUUCAUUGUCAAGGCAUUGCUGUAAUUCCUAGACUGAAAACAAAAGAUCUUGACUUAAAGAUAAUACCUUAUUAAUUACCCCGGAGACUAUAUGACGUUACUACUGUUCAUUUUAUUUACCCAUUCAUUCUACAUGUAUAUUUGAGAGCCUAUUGGGUAUAUAAGGUUCUUAAUUGUCCUCAGAAACAUGAAAAACUGAACAUUCUGUGCGUUUCUUCUACCACACUGGCCACUACAAUAAGCAGGGUUUUCUACUGAGUUUGCUCCUUAAGUUACAGGAGUCUUCCUUAUUUAUUACAGUUACUUGACUUAUCCUUCAAAAGGGACAAUAAUUCAACCAAUUCGCAAGGUCCGAUUCUCAUAUGCCUUAUGGAACUAUUCAUACUCAAGCCAUAAUUGGUUUUGAAAUUCAUUUGCCACUUUGUUUUUCUUUAUCAUUUACUUUCUGACAAACACUGCCUCAGUCUAUUAAAAGAACAAUGACUUGGCAGGUAUCUGGCUCAUAAGGAAGUGGAGCACAUUCCUGGAAAGAAGGAGGUCCAUGUUUAAUCCCUGGUACCUCAUGGCCCCUGAAGCACUAAUGGGUUGUAAACCUAAUGCCCUUGAGUGCUACACAGGUGACUUUGGCAUAUGUUAGUGCAGUUGAUUCUGCUCUCUGCCAGACCACCAGGCAAGGAGUAGCCCCAAGCCUACACAGAAAAUUAGAGAUGGAGAUAUGAUUUCUGUCUUGUAACUGCUCCUCAAUUUAGCCCUUAAAAAGCUUACCAUCCAAAAAAUUAUUUGAUGCUGAAGAAAUGACCUGUUACAGCUUAAUAAUUUUAACAUGCAUGCUUAAGUUUUAAGAAUAAAAUAAGACAGAAGUAAUUGGCAAAAAUUGGAUUAUACCACCAAAUCUUUAAAAUCUUUGCCGAAAUAGGCUUUGACCUUUUCUACUUUUAAAUCACUCGCAGAGGGUGGGAAGGAGGAAGAGUGAAAGAAAAGGUCAAACCUAUUUCUAAGUGAAGCCUGCCUUUUUCUGAGAAAGAAAUUUUGGCUGCAUGGUAUUCAGCUAAGCUUUGGGUUAAAUAGCUAGGAAAUGUAUUUAAUGAGUGACUUGUCCAAUUUAAGAUAGUUUAAAAAACUAUAGUCAUAACUCACUGCAAAGCAAGAAAUCUUUAUUAUUCCACCUUCUAUCCACUGAACUCAAUUUGGGGUGGGAUUGUGGUUGGGGGUGCACUAUUGAAAAAUAGAAAGGAGAAAUUAACUAAAAGACUUCCUUUCACAGUUCCUAGCAUCGUAAGACUUUCACUACUGAUAACACAAGAAAACGAGGGCAUGCUAUCAUCUGAUUUUGUGACAUAUGAAGAAAUUGAGAACAAGUCCAUUUUUAAUGGAAAGAACUUCAUCUCUACCUAUCUACAUGAAAGGGAAUCUGCAAAAAUGUCCUGAUAAAUGGAAAACCCACUUUAACUCGUGAACUGACAUGAAAUGCAGUCUUCUGCACUUUGAAAAUCUUGCUCAACCUUGUUGAACAGCAAAGAACUAUUUACCAUCUACAUGUUAUAACUCAAACUGGGGGCGGGCAGGGGUAGGGCAGGAUGCUUUAUAAUGUCAAAUAAAAUAACUUUUGG